Non-coding RNA from Pelobates cultripes (western spadefoot toad), 878 nucleotides. The record is from the annotation of a GenBank genome assembly. NCBI's taxonomy places the organism in Eukaryota, Metazoa, Chordata, Amphibia, Anura, Pelobatidae.
AGCUGAAAUGCAUUGAAAAGUUAAAUCCUGCUACUGAAGCUUUAACAGAGGUUGUCUGCAAUCCACGAAGAUAAAAAAAAAUGAUGGUCCAGUACUACAGGUAUGAGAUCUCCAUUUAUUUAAGGCAGCAGCAUACAAAUUGGCAAAGUUUCGACCAAGCAAACGGUCUUUGUCAAAUCACUCUGCAGAGACCGAAUACAGCUAAUAUAUACAGGGUUAUUCACUAAAGGGAGAAAUCAAGAUGAAUUUCAAAUUAAGGGCCAGAUGAGCUAAAUAUAAAGCAUAGCUGACUUAGAAAACGUUUCCAAUUAAGCUAUUUUGAACUUAAAAUUCACUUUGAAUUCUCACUUUACCGAAUAACUCUAAAUUACAAGAUGUGUGUCCAUACGGACAAUUGAAGAAAAUGUGUCCAUCUUAUCACAUGACCACCAAAGUCACAUGCUGGUGUUGAGUCUUCCAAUACUAUUAAGGUAUCUCUUCACUGAGUGCUAACCUCCUUUUUUGGGGGUAUGUGUUUGGUUUACACUAUGACAAGUUGAGCAGAAUUAAAAGAUCUGGAAAGCACUUGGCGAGUAUCAGAAUGGUUGAAAUGUUACAGAACACUUUUAUACUUGUUUUGUGCGUCCCUAUGUUAGGCAUGUGGGUACUUACGUUAGGGGAAAAACUAAAAAUAAAUUGCUAUAUGGUACACACACAGCAGGUCAUAUCUCAUUAAUUUAUUUUUAUUUUCUACAUACAUGUACAGUCACUCAACAUUUUACAAAAGAUUGUAUUUAUGGUUCUGGUUCUUAGUGUACCCCUCUAACCUUUUUAGAUGGAGCUGGGAGAUCGUAUGGGGUUUCAAGCUAUUCAUUGUUCACAAAUUAAAUCUGAAGACC